This 652-nucleotide ribosomal RNA is filed under the name uncultured bacterium. Its description in RNAcentral is "bacterial SSU rRNA". It matches the Rfam family "Bacterial small subunit ribosomal RNA", at positions 112 to 749 of the family's 1533-position model. The record is from RNAcentral.
AACACGUGGGUAACCUGCCCAUAAGACUGGGAUAACUCCGGGAAACCGGGGCUAAUACCGGAUAACAUUUUGAACUGCAUGGUUCGAAAUUGAAAGGCGGCUUCGGCUGUCACUUAUGGAUGGACCCGCGUCGCAUUAGCUAGUUGGUGAGGUAACGGCUCACCAAGGCAACGAUGCGUAGCCGACCUGAGAGGGUGAUCGGCCACACUGGGACUGAGACACGGCCCAGACUCCUACGGGAGGCAGCAGUAGGGAAUCUUCCGCAAUGGACGAAAGUCUGACGGAGCAACGCCGCGUGAGUGAUGAAGGCUUUCGGGUCGUAAAACUCUGUUGUUAGGGAAGAACAAGUGCUAGUUGAAUAAGCUGGCACCUUGACGGUACCUAACCAGAAAGCCACGGCUAACUACGUGCCAGCAGCCGCGGUAAUACGUAGGUGGCAAGCGUUAUCCGGAAUUAUUGGGCGUAAAGCGCGCGCAGGUGGUUUCUUAAGUCUGAUGUGAAAGCCCACGGCUCAACCGUGGAGGGUCAUUGGAAACUGGGAGACUUGAGUGCAGAAGAGGAAAGUGGAAUUCCAUGUGUAGCGGUGAAAUGCGUAGAGAUAUGGAGGAACACCAGUGGCGAAGGCGACUUUCUGGUCUGUAACUGACACUGA